This is a long non-coding RNA of Ailuropoda melanoleuca (giant panda), 1240 nucleotides long. RefSeq lists it as uncharacterized. The transcript is spliced from 3 exons. NCBI's taxonomy places the organism in Eukaryota, Metazoa, Chordata, Mammalia, Carnivora, Ursidae. The record is from RefSeq and is a predicted model, not a curated record.
CGCGCGCGCUGGGGGCCACGCCCCCUGUGGGCGCAUGGCUCCGCCCCUUACGCGGCUUGUCGCUCCUGGGACUCCCGGCAGGCGGGGACCGGCGCUGGGCGUGGUAGCUCUGCCUUUGCUGUGGCGCCUUGAGGCUGCUACGCUCUCUUACACUCUCAUCCCGGUCCUGGUGAGCGCCGUUGUGCCUAGUUGACCCCAAGCACCGGUCUCUUAGUGGCUGAAUGUGGCUGAGCCGGGCUAAUGCCCGGAGGAGCUCCCCGGUCUGGAGACCGGGCCUGCAAGAGAGUCUCACUCAAAUGAUAAGCGAGUGAGAGACAAGACUGAGAAGGGCAGGUGCCCGUGCGAGGCCCGGAUGUUCCCGGGAGGUCCCGCGUGCGGGAAAGAGGGUACCGAGAGGGGCGCGAAAUCUGGACCAGUGUCAAGGAGAACAAGAUGCCCUAGAAGGAGUGGGUCCCACAAAUUAUGCAGCCAGCCCCACCUGGAACCAACCUGCCAACUGUGUGGAUUCCUGCAGCAUCUCCGAUGAAGCAGAGAAAGCAGAUCCCAGCUGAUGCAGCCUGGUGGACUUCGAGAGCCGGUGUCUACAUGGAGACAGAAAACCAUCGGCUGUCGGCCGCCAGCAGAGAUGUGACUCCUUCACCUGCUGGCAGCAGAGGCUUAAACAUCACUCAAGAGGCACUGGAAGGCGGCAGCCCCCUCCUCCCUCCCUACUUAACAUCUCUAAAACAUCUGCGACGUCCAACUGCGCGGGGAGGCAACGCGCACCUGACUCAUAAGAAGAGGCCCUACGUCCACCCCACGAUGGGCAUCUGGCCUGGCCGGGCUGCGACUACCCCACCCCACCCCACCCCACCCGCGCCGGCAUCCCUGGGCGGCGAGCGCCACCUGGAGGCCACCUGAGAUCUGCGGGGGUGCCGCCGGCACUUGGGAAGGUGGCGGAAUCCUUUCAUUCGGUUUUAUCCUUUAUUAAGCCACGGCUGUGUGUUAGGCUCUGGUGACACGGGUAGAAAUAAACCUAACGUCCAGUCUCCCAUGACAUUUAUGGCUGGAUGGAGAAGACAGAUGCUUGACAAAUAAUUCGAUUUGUAACACUAGGGCUGGAAAAGAGAUGGCUACAAAGGAGGGAUAAGGAGCACCUGGGUGGCUCAGUGAAGCGGGGCUCUUGAUCUCCACUCAGGUCAUGACCUCGGGGUCCUGGGAUCAGUCAACAGGUAGGGCUCCACACUGAGUGGAGCCUGCG